UCCUGGUUGACCCAGGCAGUCUCACUAGAGUUCCCACCAUUACGUGUUGGCAACUAGUGAUAAGGGUUGCGCUCGUUGCUGGACUUAACCAAACACCUCACGGCACGAGCUGACGACAGCCAUGCAGCACCUGUUCAGCAGUCCCGAAGGAAGAUACUAUUUCUAGUACUGUCUACUGUAUGUCAAGUCUGGGUAAGGUUCUUCGCGUUGCAUCGAAUUAAACCACAUGCUCCACUGCUUGUGCGGGUCCCCGUCAAUUCUUUUGAGUUUCAGCCUUGCGACUGUACUCCCCAGGCGGUAUACUUAUCGCGUUAGCUACGACACAAUCGGGGUUGAGUCCGAUUACAUCAAGUAUACAUCGUUUACGGCUAGGACUAC
Molecule: unclassified non-coding RNA, 378 nt
Filed under: uncultured Parachlamydiaceae bacterium
Lineage: Bacteria; Pseudomonadati; Chlamydiota; Chlamydiia; Parachlamydiales; Parachlamydiaceae
Description: contains 16S-23S intergenic spacer region
Source: RNAcentral